Molecule: ribosomal RNA, 791 nt
Filed under: marine metagenome
Description: bacterial SSU rRNA
Rfam family: Archaeal small subunit ribosomal RNA (bases 178-791)
Source: RNAcentral
GGAUCUAUCGGGCCCGGCAUCUAUUUUUUAACCAACCUAACUCCAGAUCUAUCGGGCCCGGCAUCUAUUGUUUAACCGACCUAACUCUGGUUCUUUCCCGAGGUCAGUUUGGGGUCGUCAAAGGAAUGGGGUUGCCAUAGGAAUGGGGUUGUCAAAGGAAUGGGGUCGUCAAAGGAAUGGGGUUGCCAUAGGAAUGGGGUUGUCAAAGGAAUGGAAUGGGGUUGUCAAAGGAACGGGUGACGCGUGGGGUUUAAUCAGAUUAUACACCGUGAAUCUCACCAGGAGCGACAGCAGAAUGAAGGUCAGUCUAAAGGGCUUACCUGACGCGCUGAGAGGAGUUGCAUGGCCGACAUAAGCCUGUGCCGUGAGGUGACUUGUUAAAUCAAGUAACAGGCGAGACCCUCGUGUCUAAUUUCUACGAAAGAGCACAUUAGACAGACUGCCUUGGUAACAAGGAGGAAGGUGAGGGCAAUGUUAGGUGAGUACAGCCCGAAUCCCCUGGGCAACACGCGCGCGGCAAUGUUACGUUCAAUGAGAUGCGACUCUGAAAAGAGAAGCCAAUCUCCUAAAGCGUAGCUUAGUACAGAUUGAGGUUUGUAACCCAACCUCAUGACGAUGGAAUCCGUAGUAAUCGGGUGUUAUCAACGCCCGGUGAAUAUGUCACGGCCUCUUGCACACACUGCCCGUCAAACCAACCGAGUUGUGCUUUGGUGAAGUCCUUCGGGAAUGAAUCUCGGUACGACAAGGUAGGUUAAGUCGUCACAAGGUAUCUGUAGGGGAACCUGCAGAGG